This 2055-nucleotide ribosomal RNA is filed under the name Dactuliothrips sp. TH15. RNAcentral describes it as "eukaryotic LSU rRNA". It matches the Rfam family "Eukaryotic large subunit ribosomal RNA", at positions 80 to 1796 of the family's 3401-position model. Lineage: Eukaryota; Metazoa; Arthropoda; Insecta; Thysanoptera; Aeolothripidae. The record is from RNAcentral.
UUAGUAGCGGCGAGCGAACAGGGAAGAGCCCAGCGCUGAAUCCCCCGGGCGAGAGUCCGGCGGGAAAUGUAGCGUUAGGGAGGACUCGUCAACUCCUAUGAAGUCCGCUCGCUCAAGUCCAACUUGAAUGGGGUCACACAGAGGGUGACAGGCCCGUAGAGCAGGGACUUAAUAGAGAGUGAGUCUCUCCUCAGAGUCGGUUUGCUUGAGAGUGCAGACCUAAGUGGGUGGUAAACUCCAUCUAAGGCUAAAUAUGACCACGAGACCGAUAGCACACAAGUACCGUGAGGGAAAGGUGAAAAGAACUUUGAAGAGAGAGUUCAAGAGUACGUGAAACUGAUAUGGUGUAAACGGACGAGACCGAAAAGUCCGAAAGGGGAGAUUCAAGCUUUAUCCCGGAACGGUCUCUCGGGGGGCAGAUGGUACGGACUGCUCGGGCCCUUCACGGGGCGCCGGGUACGCUUCGUGUCCACUCGCCUCUUCGGGUACGUUUCCGCCCGGGUGGGCUGCACUUCUCCCCUAGUAGGACGUCGCGACCCGUUGGUGUACGGGGGUCGAAGGCUCGAGGUGGCAGACCGUUGGGGGGCGCUUGGUUUACUCCUCGCGUUGCUCCGGCGGACCCUCGAUCGACCUGACCCCCAACCGACGGUAGCAAAGGUUGGGACAGGGACCGCACACAUUGUGUUGCGCGGGUUGGAACUCUUACGAGAGGCCGUAAACUCCCGCCGGUCCGUUUUGAAAAUCCCGGUCAGCGGCGCUUCUGCUUUUGGUACUCGUCCGACCCGUCUUGAAACACGGACCAAGGAGUCUAACAUGUGCGCGAGUCAUUGGGCUCUACGAAACCUAAAGGCGAAAUGAAAGUAAAGGCGGAAACUCUGUUUCUGCUUAGGGAGGAUGGUCGAUCCUACGUGAUUGACCCGCACUCCCGGGGCGUCACACGGUCUUCUUGACCAGUGGCGCACCCAGAGCGUACACGUUGGGACCCGAAAGAUGGUGAACUAUGCCUGGCCAGGACGAAGUCAGGGGAAACCCUGAUGGAGGUCCGUAGCGAUUCUGACGUGCAAAUCGAUCGUCGGAGCUGGGUAUAGGGGCGAAAGACUAAUCGAACCAUCUAGUAGCUGGUUCCCUCCGAAGUUUCCCUCAGGAUAGCUGGCGCUCGGAGAGGAAAAUGAGACGAGUCUCAUCCGGUAAAGCGAAUGAUUAGAGGCCUUGGGGCCGAAACGACCUCAACCUAUUCUCAAACUUUAAAUGGGUGAGAUCUCCGGCUUGCUUAACUGAAGCCGCGAGGUAGUCGAGUGGAUCAAUGAGUGCCAAGUGGGCCAAUUUUGGUAAGCAGAACUGGCGCUGUGGGAUGAACCAAACGCAGAGUUAAAGCGCCUAAAUCGACGCUCAUGGGAAACCAUGAAAGGCGUUGGUUGCUUAAGACAGCAGGACGGUGGCCAUGGAAGUCGGAAUCCGCUAAGGAGUGUGUAACAACUCACCUGCCGAAGCAACUAGCCCUGAAAAUGGAUGGCGCUGAAGCGUCGUGCUUAUACUCUGCCGCCAGGGCAAGAGAGUCGCGGGAUCCUCCGGACAUGAAGCCCUGGUGAGUAGGAGGGUCGCGUCGGUGUGCGCAGAAGGGUCUGGGCGUGAGCCUGCCUGGAGCCGCCGACGGUGCAGAUCUUGGUGGUAGUAGCAAAUACUCCAGAGAGGCCCUGGAGGGCUGAUGUGGUAGAAGGGUUUCGUGUGAACAGCCGUUGCACACGAGUCAGUCGAUCCUAAGCCCUAGGAGAAAUCCGAAGCAGAUGUGCGUAGCCGGUAUUCAGUCUGACUGAUGGCCGCCAUCGGGCGAAAGGGAAUCCGGUUCCUAUUCCGGAACCCAGUAUCGGAACCGAUCCAAUCGGGCCCUUAAAAAGCUCGUCAGGGUAACCUAACAUGCCCCGGAGACGCCGUCGGCAUCCCCCGGAAGAGUUUUCUUUUCUGUAUGAGCGAGCGUAUUCCCUGGAAGCCUCUAGCAGGGAGAUAGGGAACGGCUCGCGAAGAGCACCGCACUUGCGGCGGUGUCGGGGGAGCGCU